CCUACGGGAGGCAGCAGUGGGGAAUUUUGGACAAUGGGCGCAAGCCUGAUCCAGCAAUGCCGCGUGCAGGAUGAAGGCCUUCGGGUUGUAAACUGCUUUUGUACGGAACGAAAAAGUCUGCCCUAAUACGGUGGGCCCAUGACGGUACCGUAAGAAUAAGCACCGGCUAACUACGUGCCAGCAGCCGCGGUAAUACGUAGGGUGCGAGCGUUAAUCGGAAUUACUGGGCGUAAAGCGUGCGCAGGCGGUUAUAUAAGACAGAUGUGAAAUCCCCGGGCUCAACCUGGGACCUGCAUUUGUGACUGUAUAGCUAGAGUACGGUAGAGGGGGAUGGAAUUCCGCGUGUAGCAGUGAAAUGCGUAGAUAUGCGGAGGAACACCGAUGGCGAAGGCAAUCCCCUGGACCUGUACUGACGCUCAUGCACGAAAGCGUGGGGAGCAAACAGGAUUAGAUACCCUGGUAGUCCACGCCCUAAACGAUGUCAACUGGUUGUUGGGUCUUCACUGACUCAGUAACGAAGCUAACGCGUGAAGUUGACCGCCUGGGGAGUACGGCCGCAAGGUUGAAACUUAAGGAAUUGACGG
This 584-nucleotide ribosomal RNA is filed under the name uncultured bacterium. Its description in RNAcentral is "bacterial SSU rRNA". It matches the Rfam family "Bacterial small subunit ribosomal RNA", at positions 338 to 916 of the family's 1533-position model. The record is from RNAcentral.